Long non-coding RNA from Limulus polyphemus (Atlantic horseshoe crab), 2785 nucleotides. RefSeq lists it as uncharacterized. The transcript has 2 exons. Lineage: Eukaryota; Metazoa; Arthropoda; Merostomata; Xiphosura; Limulidae. The record is from RefSeq and is a predicted model, not a curated record.
AAUGCCUAGAAAAGUUACGACUUCGAGAGACAUGUUUGGAUUGCUUGGUUGUCAAGAGUGAGAAGUAAUAUGAAUAUAACAAAGCUAGACGGGUACGUUAUUGAAUGUUAAAAAAAUUGUUUAGAAAAAUAACCAUAGUACGUAAGCUGUAGUUCUGGAACUGAAAGUCAGUUACAUUAACCCUACGACAGUAUAUGAAAACAGAAAACCAUUGAUGAUUGGCUAAGAAGUGGAAGGAAUGGGCGAAGUAUAAAAAACGUUGUUACUCGACGAAAGCUAUAAACAACUAUAAAGUUUUCUAAUGUAAGAAAUUUAGAUAUUGAAAGAACGAAAAUGGAGUCAUAUUUCCAAAGCUAGUAUAUGUUCUUGAAUAUAGUUUUACACAUUUGUAACCUACUAAAGACCAUGGACAGUUUUAAAUGUUUACAUUAUAUUUAAAGUCAAGAAAGAGAGGCGUCGCUAGGCCCUGGCACGUGGGGCCCGUGCCCCAAUUCUAUUUCAUAGUGCCUCGAAUCCGCAGUUGGUGUCAGAAUAGAAAACCAUGAUCGAUACCAUAUUGACACGCUGAAAAUUCCCGCAUCUUUGGGCCCGAACCCCGAAUCUUUUAAACACCUAGCGACGCCACUGUCAAAAAAUAUAGGUUCUUGGUCAUAAUUUUGCAUGUUUGUAAUGUAUUAAAUACCAAGGAAUAUAAGUGUUUCAAGACAGUUUUAAAUGUUUACAUUUUAUUUAAGGUCAGGGGAAUAUAAGCUUUUAAAUGUAGUUUUACAUGUUUAUAAUGUACUAAAAACCGAGGAAUGUGGAUGUUUAAAGAUAGUUUUAAAUGUUUACAUUGUAUUUAAGGUCAAGGAAGAAGAAACUUUGCAAUGUUAAUAAUACUUCCAGAAAAUAAUGUUUUAGUAUUAAUAAUACAUUCAAGAACAGGGAAUGUAUGAAGAAGAUUAACAUUUUACUUAUUCAUAUCUUCAACACAAAAAGGGUGUAGAUACUAGAAAACAAGUUGUAGGUAUUUAUGAUACUUUCAAAACCAGAAUAUGUAGAUAGAGAAGAAUUUUUUUUAUCUUUUUUAAUCCUUCACAUAGAACUGGUGUCAAUAGUAGCUUUGAAUAUAUUCUGUGGCUUCUAGGAUAAGAAAUGUUGAAGAACGAAAUUUUUUUAUGUCCAUUAUACAUUCACAGAGAAAAUAUUUGAUAUUGAACGAAAGUGUACACAUUUAUUUUUCCUUUAAAGGCAUGAAGUGUUGUUAGAAAAAAUUGUACACACUUGUAAUACGUCCAAAGAAAAUGAAUAUUGUAGGAGAAAAACAUUUUAAAGCUCUUUCUUUUAAUAUCCUUGGUGAACAAAAGUUUCUCAUAUUAAUUAUGAUCUAACGUAUGAGAGUUUUCGUGUAAAAUACACAACAAUUAUUAAAAAAUAAAUAAAACUUCUAAUAUUCUAAACGUCCAAAAAUCGUGCAUUAAUUAUGAUCUGACGUAUGAGAGUUUUCGUGUAAAAUACACAACAAUUAUUAAAAAAUAAAUAAAACUUCUAAUAUUCUAAACGUCCAAAAAUCGUGCUUUCAGGCAUGAAACUUGAGAGCUAUAACUUAGAGUUUCAUCGGGAAUUAUUAGUUUAAAUUUUUGCAGUCAGAAAUUUUUCUUGUUUUUAGGAUAAGUAAAUGUGUUUUAAGAUUUUUUUAUCAGUAUUUUGAUAUAUCAUGUUUUACGUUCUGGUAGUCCAUAAAGGAAUAAGUGACAAAGACGAACGCUGGAAAAUUUCUUGUAUGUUAUAUUAAUACAAAAGCUUGCCAGACACUUGCUAAACCACUUGAGACGGAUAUUUAACUUGAAUUGUUCUUAAAACGAGUAAGCUCAAAUCGAAAUUAGGGUAAAAUAUUGGUCUGAUAUUCAAAUAGAAAAAUGGACAUCUGGAAGUCCUGUGAACGAACUCGUAAGGUGUUUCGGCGUACACUAAUUUCGAUAUAAUAGAGUGAGGCCUGAAAGGUACGUAGCGUAGCGUUCUCAAAAUAAGUUUAGAUAGACUAUGAACGUAAUUUCAUUUUUUUUCCAUUGUGUACACUUAAGUGGUCUUUUUAUCCAAAACUUUCUUACUGGCGAAUAAUUCAAAGUUGUAAAAACAGCUAACUUGAUACAAAUGAAACAAAACUGUAGUUUAAUAACAACCUUGUACACUUCCAAGUACCAGAACAAUUAAUCAAGAAGAAUAUAAUAUCGACACUACUGACUCUACGGUAAUGUUGGUGAUAUAUAAAGGGAACCUGCAUCCAGUUUAUAUGUAACUAAAACGUUUGUCCAAUUUGUAUUGAUAUAUAGAUAAGUGUGAUCAGUUUGUAUUGAAAUAUAGAUAAAACCUGUAUCCAGCUUGUGCUGAUAUAUAAAUAAAAUCUUUUGUCCACUUUGUACUGAUAUGUAACUAAAACGUGAAUCCAAUUUGUAUUAAUAUAUAGAUAAAACCUGUGUUCAGUUUCUAUUGAUAUAUAGCUAAAACCUGUGUCCAAUUUGUAUUGAUAUAUAGAUAAAACCUGUGUUCAGUUUCUAUUGAUAUAUAGCUAAAACCUUUGUCCAAUUUGUAUUGAUAUAUAGAUAAAACCUGUGUUCAGUUUCAGUUGAUAUAUAGCUAAAACCUAUGUUCAAUUUCUAUUGAUAUAUAGCUGAAACCUGUGUUAAAUCUGUACUUAUAAGUUACUAAAACCAUUUUGUAUUAAUAUAGGACUAAACUUGUGUCCACAUACUGGUGUCCUGUGUGUAUAGUGAUAUGUAACAUAUAUUAGUGUCCAGUCUAUACA